RNAcentral lists this ribosomal RNA (468 nucleotides) under uncultured bacterium. Its description in RNAcentral is "bacterial SSU rRNA". It matches the Rfam family "Bacterial small subunit ribosomal RNA", at positions 28 to 507 of the family's 1533-position model. The record is from RNAcentral.
GAUGAACGCUAGCGGCAGGCUUAACACAUGCAAGUCGAGGGGCAUCGAGAGAGUAGCAAUACUUUUGUCGGCGACCGGCGGACGGGUGCGUAACGCGUAUGCAACCUACCUUAUACAGGGGGAUAACCUUUCGAAAGGGAGACUAAUACCGCAUAACAUUACUUUGAGGCAUCUUGAGGUAAUUAAAUCUUCGGAGGUAUAAGAUGGGCAUGCGUAGCAUUAGCUAGAUGGUGCGGUAACGGCGUACCAUGGCGACGAUGCUUAGGGGUUCUGAGAGGAAGGUCCCCCACACUGGUACUGAGAUACGGACCAGACUCCUACGGGAGGCAGCAGUGAGGAAUAUUGGGCAAUGGGCGAAAGCUUGACCCAGCAACGCCGCGUGAGUGAAGAAGUAUUUCGGUAUGUAAAGCUCUAUCAGCAGGGAAGAUAAUGACGGUACCUGACUAAGAAGCCCCGGCUAACUACGUG